AGAGUUUGAUCCUGGCUCAGGACGAACGCUGGCGGCGUGCCUAACACAUGCAAGUCGAACGAGGUCCAUGCAGUGGCAACACUGCGGACGACCUAGUGGCGAACGGGUGAGUAACACGUGAGGAACCUGCCCCGAAGACCGGGAUAACCCUCCGAAAGGAGAGUUAAUACCGGAUACCCCCACCGGAUCGCAUGAUCUGGUGAGGAAAUGGAUUCCGCUUCGGGAGGGCCUCGCGGCCUAUCAGCUUGUUGGUGGGGUAACGGCCCACCAAGGCAUCGACGGGUAGCUGGUCUGAGAGGACGAUCAGCCACACUGGGACUGAGACACGGCCCAGACUCCUACGGGAGGCAGCAGUGGGGAAUCUUGCGCAAUGGGCGAAAGCCUGACGCAGCAACGCCGCGUGGGGGAUGAAGGCUCUCGGGUUGUAAACCCCUUUCAGCAGGGACGAAUCAAGACGGUACCUGCAGAAGAAGCCCCGGCUAACUACGUGCCAGCAGCCGCGGUAACACGUAGGGGGCAAGCGUUGUCCGGAUUUAUUGGGCGUAAAGAGCUCGUAGGCGGCUGAGUAAGUCGGGUGUUAAAUCCCCAGGCUCAACCUGGGACACCACCCGAUACUGCUCUGGCUAGAGUCCGGUAGGGGAGCGUGGAAUUCCUGGUGUAGCGGUGAAAUGCGCAGAUAUCAGGAGGAACACCAGCGGCGAAGGCGGCGCUCUGGGCCGGAACUGACGCUGAGGAGCGAAAGCGUGAGUAGCAAACAGGAUUAGAUACCCUGGUAGUCCACGCCGUAAACGUUGGGCACUAGGUGUGGGGUCUAUUCAACGGACUCCGUGCCGUAGCUAACGCAUUAAGUGCCCCGCCUGGGGAGUACGGCCGCAAGGCUAAAACUCAAAGGAAUUGACGGGGGCCCGCACAAGCAGCGGAGCAUGUUGCUUAAUUCGAGGCAACGCGAAGAACCUUACCUGGGUUUGACAUGUAGAGAAAAGCCAUAGAGAUAUGGUGUCCUUCGGGGUUCUACACAGGUGGUGCAUGGUUGUCGUCAGCUCGUGUCGUGAGAUGUUGGGUUAAGUCCCGCAACGACCGCAACCCUUGUCCUAUGUUGCCAGCACGUCAUGGUGGGGACUCGUAGGAGACUGCCGGGGUCAACUCGGAGGAAGGUGGGGACGACGUCAAAUCAUCAUGCCCCUUAUAUCCAGGGCUGCAA
This 1201-nucleotide ribosomal RNA is filed under the name metagenome. RNAcentral's name for it is "bacterial SSU rRNA". It matches the Rfam family "Bacterial small subunit ribosomal RNA", at positions 8 to 1219 of the family's 1533-position model. The record is from RNAcentral.